RNAcentral lists this long non-coding RNA (524 nucleotides) under Nicotiana benthamiana. RNAcentral describes it as "long non-coding RNA (NBEN_LNC013871)". The record is from RNAcentral. Lineage: Eukaryota; Viridiplantae; Streptophyta; Magnoliopsida; Solanales; Solanaceae.
AUUCAAGUUUUCAACUUCCUGGUUUUCGUAUGCCUGCAAUGCUCAAGGAUGAAGAAGUAAGCGAUUCUGAUGGUGAGAGUUUUGAGGCUGUCACUCCAGAACACCCUGCUGGAAAACCCAACGGAGAGGAGGCCAACCUGGCUAUUGAGAAGCGCAAACAUAUCCUGGAAGAUGUUGAUGGUGAACUUGAAAUGGAAGAUGUGUCUCCAGUGUGUGAAGGUGAAACUGCUUCUGCCAGUUACAGUGUCGGAACAAAUCCUGCUCAGAUUUCACUGAUUCUGACGGUGAGAGUUUUGAGGCUGUCACUCCAGAACACCCGGCUGGAAAACCCAACGGAGAGGAGGCCAACCUGGCUAUUGAGAAGCGCAAACAUAUCCUGGAAGAUGUUGAUGGUGAACUUGAAAUGGAAGAUGUGUCUCCAGUGUGUGAAGGUGAAACUGCUUCUGCCAGUUACAGUGUCGGAACAAAUCCUGCUCAGAUUUCACGUCCUGAUGAUGGGAGCUGUCUUGGAGCCCCCUUCUAUC